RNAcentral lists this ribosomal RNA (646 nucleotides) under uncultured Lachnospiraceae bacterium. RNAcentral's name for it is "bacterial SSU rRNA". It matches the Rfam family "Bacterial small subunit ribosomal RNA", at positions 59 to 706 of the family's 1533-position model. The record is from RNAcentral. Lineage: Bacteria; Bacillati; Bacillota; Clostridia; Lachnospirales; Lachnospiraceae.
AAGUCGAACGAAGCUGCUUUGAUGAAGUUUUCGGAUGGAUUUAAAACAGCUUAGUGGCGGACGGGUGAGUAACGCGUGGGUAACCUGCCUCACACUGGGGGAUAACAGUUAGAAAUAGCUGCUAAUACCGCAUAAGCGCACGGUUCCGCAUGGAACAGUGUGAAAAACUCCGGUGGUGUGAGAUGGACCCGCGUCUGAUUAGCCAGUUGGCGGGGUAACGGCCCACCAAAGCGACGAUCAGUAGCCGGCCUGAGAGGGUGAACGGCCACAUUGGGACUGAGACACGGCCCAAACUCCUACGGGAGGCAGCAGUGGGGAAUAUUGCACAAUGGGGGAAACCCUGAUGCAGUGACGCCGCGUGAGUGAAGAAGUAUUUCGGUAUGUAAAGCUCUAUCAGCAGGGAAGAAAGUGACGGUACCUGAAUAAGAAGCCCCGGCUAACUACGUGCCAGCAGCCGCGGUAAUACGUAGGGGGCAAGCGUUAUCCGGAUUUACUGGGUGUAAAGGGAGCGUAGACGGACUGGCAAGUCUGAUGUGAAAGGCGGGGGCUCAACCCCUGGACUGCAUUGGAAACUGUUAGUCUUGAGUGCCGGAGAGGUAAGCGGAAUUCCUAGUGUAGCGGUGAAAUGCGUAGAUAUUAGGAGGAA